This 420-nucleotide ribosomal RNA is filed under the name bacterium. RNAcentral describes it as "partial 16S ribosomal RNA". It matches the Rfam family "Bacterial small subunit ribosomal RNA", at positions 355 to 776 of the family's 1533-position model. The record is from RNAcentral.
UGGGGGAUAUUGCACAAUGGGCGAAAGCCUGAUGCAGCGACGCCGCGUGGGGGAUGAAGGCUUUCGGGUUGUAAACCUCUUUCGCUAUCGAACAAGGCCCGCUUAGGGUGGGUUGAGGGUAGGUGGAGAAGAAGCGCCGGCUAACUACGUGCCAGCAGCCGCGGUAAUACGUAGGGCGGGAGCGUUGUCCGGAAUUAUUGGGCGUAAAGGGCUUGUAGGCGGCUUGUUGCUCCUGCUGUGAAAACGCGGGGCUUAACUUCGCGCGUGCAGUGGGUACGGGCAGGCGUGAGUGUGGUAGGGGUGACUGGAAUUCCAGGUGUAGCGGUGGAAUGCGCAGAUAUCUGGGGGAACACCGAGGGCGAAGGGAGGUCACUGGGCCAUUACUGACGCUGAGGAGCGAAAGCAUGGGUAGAGAACAGG